Molecule: non-coding RNA, 3350 nt
Organism: Python bivittatus (Burmese python)
Lineage: Eukaryota; Metazoa; Chordata; Lepidosauria; Squamata; Pythonidae
Source: RefSeq, a predicted model, not a curated record
ACAUCUUAGAGUUGUCAAAGUUGAGAAACACUGCACUAGACACAUGCACUCAUCUCAGGGUUCCCAUGGUAACAUCCCAACCCCAAUGCCUAGGGGAGAGCCAGGGGAGAGCCAGGUCUUCACGGCCUUGCAAAAGGCCAGUAGAGUAGGGGUUGUCUGUAUUUUAAGGGGGAGGCUGUUCCAUAGGGCAGGCACCAUAGUAGAGAAGGCACACUUCAGGGGAUCUGCCAGAUGACAUUGAAUUAUUGAUGCAGCUAGAGCACACCCACUCGACCAGAUCUGGUGGAGCAGGCAAAAAACACUGGGGAUAGGUGGUCCUGCAAGUAACCUGGUCCCAUGCCAUGUAGGGCUUUGGAGGUGACAACUGGCACCUUGGAUAGAACCCAGAAACCUACUAGGAGCCAGUGCAGCUUGUGUAGCAGCAGUGUUAUAUGGGAGUACUGCAGUGUGCCCAAAACUGCAUGUGCUGCUGCUUACUGGACUAGCUGGUCCAGAAUGCUCUUCAAGGGCAGACCCAAGUGGAAUGUGUGCAGUAGUCCAAUCAGAAGGUAAGUAAGGUGUGAGUCAUAAGCAGUGCCUCCCAAUCCAGAAAUGGGCACAACUGGCGCACAGGAUGCUCUCCUGGCCACAGCUGCCACCUGCUCCUUGAGCAUGAGCUGUGAGUCUAAGAGAAUGUCCAGAUUGCACACUGACUCUGAGUGGGGGAGCAUAACCCAAUUCAGGGUUAACCAUGGACAAUUACUAAAUAUGGAGGCCACUAAGACCCACAGCCAGUCAGUCUUGUCAAGGUUGAGCAGAAGUUGGUUCUUCCCCUUCCUAACCCGCACAGCCUUGAAGCACUGGGAAAGCAUCUUGGCAGCAUCACUUGGAUGGCCUGGGGCCAAAAUGUACAACUGAAUAUCAUCAGCAUACUGAUGAUAGUUAACCCCAUGCCAACAGAUGAGCUCACCUAGCAGCUUCAUGUAGAUGUCAGAUAGGAGCAGGGAGAAUGUUGAGCCCUGGAGCACCCCACAAAGCAGGGGCCUAGGACUGUACCUCUCCCCCUCUACCGACUAGAACUGACCCCGGAAGAAAGAGGAGAACCAUUGAAGAAGAGUACCUCCACUCCCAAUCCCCUCAACCGGUUCAGAAGGAUACCAUGAUGGAUGAUAUCAAAAGCCAGAGAGAUCAAGGAGGACCAGGAAGGAUACACUACCCCCAUCCCGAGCCCACCAGAGGUCAUCCACAAGUGCAAUCAAUGCUGUCUCAGUGCUAUACCCAAUCUGAAUCCCCUCUGCCACAGGUCCAGAUAAUCUGCUUCCACCUUUGGAGUUACAAGCUGAAAAGGGAGUUUGGAGAGUGGAUGAAAGUUGCCCAGUACAGAUGGGUCCAGCGAUGGCCUCUGAGGAGAAGGCGAACCACCGCUUCCUUCAAGCCAGGCAGAACCACCCCCCUGCAAAGAGACAUGCACCACCACUUGAACCCAACCAAGACCAGCCAGGAGGGGCAUAGAUCUAAUUCUGCACAGGUGGCAGAAUUCAACAUCCCAAGGACCCUCAGGAGUAACCAGAUCAAACUCUGCCCAGAUAACUGGACAAGACUGGAUCUCAGUCACCUCUACAGGACCAGCAUGGCUGAAAUCCGACUCCAAGCUAAUCCAAGUGACUAUCCAUCAGUAUGCCUGGCUAUCCCCAGGGCGACCCUGCAAGGGAUUUCCUGACCCCUCCUUACCCAGAAGGAACCAAGUAAUCUGAAACAGGGUUGCCAGGCAGAUAUUUGCUGAUGCAGUAAGGGUGGAGAAAUACUCAUGUGUUGCUGCCGUUAUCACUACAAGGUAGUCCUUAGUACAAGCUCUUACCUACGGUUACCUGUAAAUGUGUUUUAAGAUCUGGGUGAUGCUGUGGAGGCAGUUUUAUUAUGUUUGGUGGUGAUAUGGAGCUCUUUGCUUGUGCACGUUUCCUGUGAGAGUUACGGCGAGCAACUGUUUAGAAGCAAAUGGGCUGAGAAUCUUUCAUAACAUUAAAGAUUGAUUGCACUGUAGCAUUAUAUACACCAGCUUUGUGGAAUGCAUUGUCGGUGCCUAGAAUCUGCACUUAGCACUUAGAAUCUUUUUCUUAUCGUGAAAGAUUCUAUAGCCCAAAAUCAUCAUCAUUAUUCAUCUCAUUAUUGUUGUUACUUUGCAGCAACCCCCUAACUGAACACAAGGGGGAAAAAAGUGAAAUGUUAUGAUGUUAUUUAGCUAGCGUGAGUAGAAUAUAUGAUUGAUAUUAACCUAGCUUAAAGAGAGAAAUGUAUCACUUCAGGCCUUACACAAGAAAGCUAUUUUCUUGAGGGAGAAUAGCUCAUUGAUGUGGCCAACAACUGCGGAAUUUGUUCUUAGCCGUUUGCCAACAAGCAAGCUAAUGAAUGAAGGAAUUGAGAAUAAAUGACUAGCAUUACCCAAGUUGUGUCAGUGUCUAAUAUCAACAUAUUUGAGUAGCUUUCAGGUUUUAUCCCAUGCAUCUCAUUGCAUCUUAUGCUUUGCAUUUAACAAAACUCCUGUCUUUACUAACACACUUCCUUUAAUUUUACUUACAUGUCACCCCUGUAUCUUAAAACUAUAGUAUUACUACCUAAAUUAUGCUGAGGGUUUAUAAAUAAUUCCAUUGUGCAAAACUACAAAAACUUGCUUGAAAUUCUGCUGGACUUCCUACAUGUGACCUUUAAAUGUAUUUUCUUCUAGGAGCAGAACAGAAUCUUUCUGCUAACCAAUAAGGAGCACAUCCCCUUACUGUAUAAGGGUCUAGCAGUAAAACAUAACAAUUAUUUUUUAUACAUAUUAUUUUGUAUAAAUACAGUAUUUCUUCAUCUUCUGAAGCAUCAAGAACUUGAGUUGUGAAACUUUCCAUCAAAGAAUGUAAUUACCAUUCUGACCUUGUUUGAGAACUCUUGGAAAUACUAUACAGCUAUUUAAAAUAAUUACAGAUCAUUGUGUCCAUGAAAUCCAUUAAGUAAGAUAUUAAAUAUCAAAUCCAUUGUAUUUUGCAUUUAAUGAAUUACUUUCUUCUGUCACAUACAGAAUAUCCAAGGAUGUUGGUCUUUUCCAUUCUUUUGUGCAGCUGUGCAAGAUUUGAGUCUGUGAGAAAAAUCUCAACAGUUGCUAACAACAUUUUCAGGUGAUUCAUCAUAAUAUUUUAUCAAGGCUUUCCUGUUCUACAAAAAUAUCUCCACCUGCUUGAAUACUCAGAUGAGGUCAAUCAGAAGUCUUCAAUGUGUUUUCAAGGUGAUGUUCCGUGUGGAUAAUGGACUAGUUCAAGAAAUUUCAUUGGACGUAAAUGUACAAGAAAUUACCCAACUGUAAAUUAUACAAUUUAAAAUUAAAUAAAUAACAA